RNAcentral lists this unclassified non-coding RNA (553 nucleotides) under Zea mays. Its description in RNAcentral is "misc RNA Zm00001eb356700". Lineage: Eukaryota; Viridiplantae; Streptophyta; Magnoliopsida; Poales; Poaceae. The record is from RNAcentral.
GUAUAUGCCUGCCCACAUUCUAUCUCUGCAUAGCAAAAAUGCCACAACAACCUCAGGUGGUCUUUUCUUGUCUCAAGGGAAAGCUUAGUGCUUCAUUGAUCCUACUGAAAACGAGACGAAGCGGGACGCACGCGACUGCUGGUCCGCCAGUUUUUGCAACUACGGGCUUUUGGUCUGCACUCUCUCUCCGGCUGCCGGCGAAAGAUGAUAGCCUCCGCAUUUUCCUCGGCGAAGAUGCUGGUUUCUUGGUAUGGGGCCACCAAGACCUGUCCAAAUCAUGCUCUGUGGCCUUUUUACGUCCACUGGAUUUAAAUUUUGAUCGUGAUGCAUGUGAAGAUCUUGCUUGCCGUGGCUCUGAAACUCUGCUCUUUAGUAAGGAGUCCAGACUGCCCAUCACCGGGCGGUGCUCAUCUCUACUUGUUGUGUGACGGCUAUCCUUCAAAACCUCCAGGGUGACAGGGUACCCCACAAUUGGUUUACCUGUCCAUUUACUCAUGAGGGAAAUAAGGGGCGCAUGAUGACCCUUGUAGCUUCUUUGGACAGUCACCUCAAC